GACGAGCGCUGGCGGCGUGCCUAAUACAUGCAAGUUGAGCGAUGAAGAUUGGUGCUUGCACCAAUUUGAAGAGCAGCGAACGGGUGAGUAACGCGUGGGGAAUCUGCCUUUGAGCGGGGGACAACAUUUGGAAACGAAUGCUAAUACCGCAUAACAACUUUAAACAUAAGUUUUAAGUUUGAAAGAUGCAAUUGCAUCACUCAAAGAUGAUCCCGCGUUGUAUUAGCUAGUUGGUGAGGUAAAGGCUCACCAAGGCGAUGAUACAUAGCCGACCUGAGAGGGUGAUCGGCCACAUUGGGACUGAGACACGGCCCAAACUCCUACGGGAGGCAGCAGUAGGGAAUCUUCGGCAAUGGACGAAAGUCUGGCCGAGCAACGCCGCGUGAGUGAAGAAGGUUUUCGGAUCGUAAAACUCUGUUGGUAGAGAAGAACGUUGGUGAGAGUGGAAAGCUCAUCAAGUGACGGUAACUACACAGAAAGGGACGGCUAACUACGUG
Molecule: ribosomal RNA, 497 nt
Filed under: uncultured bacterium
Lineage: Bacteria
Description: partial 16S ribosomal RNA
Rfam family: Bacterial small subunit ribosomal RNA
Source: RNAcentral